RNAcentral lists this ribosomal RNA (433 nucleotides) under uncultured bacterium. Its description in RNAcentral is "partial 16S ribosomal RNA". It matches the Rfam family "Bacterial small subunit ribosomal RNA", at positions 29 to 507 of the family's 1533-position model. The record is from RNAcentral.
AGCGAACGCUGGCGGCAGGCCUAACACAUGCAAGUCGAACGAACUCUUCGGAGUUAGUGGCGGACGGGUGAGUAACACGUGGGAACGUGCCUUUUGGUUCGGAAUAACUCAGGGAAACUUGUGCUAAUACCGAAUGUGCCCUUCGGGGGCAAGAUUUAUCGCCAUUAGAGCGGCCCGCGUCCGAUUAGCUAGUUGGUGAGGUAACGGCUCACCAAGGCGACGAUCAGUAGCUGGUCAGAGAGGAAGACCAGCCACACUGGGACUGAGACACGGCCCAGACUCCUACGGGAUGCAGCAGUGGGGAAUCUUGCGCAAUGGGCGAAAGCCUGACGCAGCCAUGCCGCGUGAAUGAUGAAGGUCUUAGGAUUGUAAAAUUCUUUCACCGGGGACGAUAAUGACGGUACCCGGAGAAGAAGCCCCGGCUAACUUCGUG